UGUAGCUUAACGGUAAAAGCGCACCAUUUCGAGUAGAUUGACCGGUGAAAUCCGAGGUUCGAAUCCCGGCA
Molecule: transfer RNA, 71 nt
Filed under: Serendipita vermifera MAFF 305830
Lineage: Eukaryota; Fungi; Basidiomycota; Agaricomycetes; Sebacinales; Serendipitaceae
Source: Rfam by way of RNAcentral